This 788-nucleotide ribosomal RNA is filed under the name Gerhardtia sinensis. Its description in RNAcentral is "LSU rRNA". It matches the Rfam family "Eukaryotic large subunit ribosomal RNA", at positions 71 to 842 of the family's 3401-position model. The record is from RNAcentral. Lineage: Eukaryota; Fungi; Basidiomycota; Agaricomycetes; Agaricales; Lyophyllaceae.
AGGAUUCCCUUAGUAACUGCGAGUGAAGAGGGAAGAGCUCAAAUUUAAAAUCUGGUAGUUCCUGACUGCCCGAGUUGUAAUCUAGAGAAGCAUUAUCCGCGCCGGACCAUGUACAAGUUUUCCUGGAAUGGAGCGUCAUAGAGGGUGAGAAUCCCGUCUUUGACAUGGGCUACCGGGGCUUUGUGAUGUGCUUUCCACGAGUCGAGUUGUUUGGGAAUGCAGCUCUAAAUGGGUGGUAAAUUCCAUCUAAAGCUAAAUAUUGGCGAGAGACCGAUAGCGAACAAGUACCGUGAGGGAAAGAUGAAAAGAACUUUGGAAAGAGAGUUAAACAGUACGUGAAAUUGUUGAAAGGGAAACGCUUGAAGUCAGUCGCGUUUGCUAGGAAUCAACCUUGCAUUUUUGCUGGGUGUACUUUCUGGUCAACGGGUCAGCAUCAAUUUUGAUCAGUGGAAAAAGUUCAGAGGAAUGUGGCACCUCCGGGUGUGUUAUAGCCUUUGUUCGUAUACACUGAUUGGAAUUGAGGAACUCAGCAUGCCGUAAGGCCGGGUCAUUGACCACGUUCAUGCUUAGGAUGCUGGCAUAAUGGCUUUAAUCGACCCGUCUUGAAACACGGACCAAGGAGUCUAACAUGCCCGCGAGUGUUUGGGUGGAAAACCCGGACGCGUAAUGAAAGUGAAGGUUGAGAUCCCUGUCGUGGGGAGCAUCGACGCCCGGACCAGAACUUCUGUGACGGAUCCGCGGUAGAGCGUGUAUGUUGGGACCCGAAAGAUGGUGAACUAUGCCUGAAU